RNAcentral lists this ribosomal RNA (91 nucleotides) under Gammaproteobacteria bacterium. RNAcentral's name for it is "partial 16S ribosomal RNA". It matches the Rfam family "Bacterial small subunit ribosomal RNA", at positions 1 to 87 of the family's 1533-position model. Lineage: Bacteria; Pseudomonadati; Pseudomonadota; Gammaproteobacteria. RNAcentral also lists the same sequence under 1 other name. The record is from RNAcentral.
UUAACUGAAGAGUUUGAUCAUGGCUCAGAUUGAACGCUGGCGGCAGGCCUAAGACAUGCAAGUCGAACGGUAACGACACUAGCUUGCUAGU